RNAcentral lists this ribosomal RNA (253 nucleotides) under uncultured bacterium. RNAcentral describes it as "partial 16S ribosomal RNA". It matches the Rfam family "Bacterial small subunit ribosomal RNA", at positions 524 to 776 of the family's 1533-position model. The record is from RNAcentral.
UACAGAGGGGGCAAGCGUUAUUCGGAAUUAUUGGGCGUAAAGAGCUCGUAGGCGGUUUGUCGCGUCUGCUGUGAAAUCCCGAGGCUCAACCUCGGGCUUGCAGUGGGUACGGGCAGACUAGAGUGCGGUAGGGGAGACUGGAAUUCCUGGUGUAGCGGUGGAAUGCGCAGAUAUCAGGAGGAACACCGAUGGCGAAGGCAGGUCUCUGGGCCGCAACUGACGCUGAGGAGCGAAAGCAUGGGGAGCGAACAGG